This is a long non-coding RNA of Girardinichthys multiradiatus, 906 nucleotides long. RefSeq lists it as uncharacterized. The record is from RefSeq and is a predicted model, not a curated record. NCBI's taxonomy places the organism in Eukaryota, Metazoa, Chordata, Actinopteri, Cyprinodontiformes, Goodeidae. The transcript has 2 exons.
ACAGGGAAAUAAGAACAGAAAUAAAAGCACAAUGAAAUCACUGAUGCCACUGUUGUAAAAUUAAUGUUACACUGUAGCUUUAUAAAUGCUUCACCACUAUGACCGCAGAUUUGGGUGUAUGUUUGCAGCUCUGCAGGUCCAGACAAGCAGCUGCUGGGUUGCCAAUUAGCAAAUCAAAAGAAACGGCGGACAGGGUUGAUUGAUCGGAUAGCUAUGCUGUCUCCACGCAUUGAUUUGUACGCUGACCAAUUAACAAUGGUAGCAAUUAGCCGAAUCGCGGUGUAAAAAUCUGUUAGCGCCGGCAGGAGCGGAUGAUCUUCAAAUGACAUCAUCCAGGCACAGAUAAGCUGACUGGCUGGAGAGGCUACGUCUAUUUUGCGGUAUUUUCACACUGCAAAUACACGACCAUUUUGGUCGUGAUACCCGUACAAAUUGUAUAAGCAGCUGAAAAAAAAAAAAAGCUUUAUAAGACGCAGCUGGUUGUGCAGAAACGUGCUUCAGAUCUAACGCAUUUCGAGCCGCACUCUCGAAGUAUGUGGAAACCUUUGUAGCAAAUGUUUCCGUUCCAGGGUAUAGCCAGAGCCAACGAGACAGCUAGCUUAUCUAUAGCAAGGGCAUUUCUUAUCUAUUUUAAGCCACAGAGUUAUCUCAGACAAAAUAACAUCGUUCGGUAUCAAUGGACUGGCGACCUGUCCGGGGUGUUUUCUGCUUCUCGUCCACAGACCGUUGAUAGGUACCAGCUCUCCUGUGACCCUGUCCUGAAGAAGCGGAUAUAAAAAAUGAAUGGAUGUAUGGGAUCACACUCCUUGCAAGCAUUAUAGACUUGGUAAAGUCAAGUAGGAGGGGAAAAUGUAUUGUUUUGUUUGCAAACAAUCACAGUAAAAAAUAAAGGCUGCUAUACGGUGA